AUAGCUCUUGAGGUUGUCAGUAGGACUUAAAGGAAUGUGAGAGGAAAAUUAUUAAAGCUGGAGGGAAAGCCCUUGUUAGUAAAAGUGUUGCCCGUGAUAAUAUAGAAAUAGAAAACAUACCCAGUGAACUGGUGGAUUGGUGUGGAGUUUUCAGGCUAAAGGUUGGAAGUCUUACCUGGCUUCUUUUAGCAACAUAUUAUACAAUACAGAUAAUGAUAAGCUAUAGGAGAAAUUACUCAGUUUUCAAGAAAAAUUUAGAGGAAAUAUAAAGGAGUCAGGACUAGCUGGGUUGGAAGUUAAAAUCUUUUUCUGAUGAUCAGUCUCUCCCAGCAGAAUAUUCCCAAAGUGAAAAAAGGCCUCGGGACAAAAGUCAAAUUCACAGCCCUCUCCAAAACCAUCUCGUAAAGAUGAAGCUAAGGAUUUGACUGUAAAAUCCUUUGUUAAGAACCCAGAAGGACUUAAGGUGGUACCUUCUGAGUCCUUGCAAAAAGAAAAGCUUAAAGAUCCUUUCCAUUAAACAAUAGGAAUUCUAAGACUAUUAAGGGUAUUAAUCCACAGCAGCUUUACAGGGAGCCCCAGGUAGGUAAGAUUUGUCGAUGUGGCUUUUUUCGAAUGAAAUAAACCCCAAUAAGGGCAAUAAGAAAGAGCUUUUAAGAAAAUUGUAUGUGUAGAAAUACUACCAGCUUGGACUAUAGGGAACAGAGAUGGCUUCAAAAUGAAAAGAAGCUGUUAGACCCUGGAACUUCUACAGGCAGGAAGCAGGCUCAUCAAACUACUGAACUUAAAGUGUGGGCUGUAUUUUAUGAAAUAGGAAGGGUAACUCAGAGGAUGGAGCCAAGAGCUGAGGAGAAUCAUUGCAGGCAGUAAAGUGAACCCUAAUCAAGAAAUUGGCCACAUGUGUGCUGUUGGAUUUGCUGUGGCCCAGAGACUGCUCCAUGCCUACUGUUGUCUCCCUUUUUGAUUGGGAGUGUUUAUAGUGAUUAUCCUAUGCCCACCCCACCAUGGAUAUUGGAUGGGUAGGGGACAGAUAAUUUGUCUCUCUAGUUCACAGGUUUUCACACCUAGAGCAAUGGUACUUUUUCUCUAGGAAAAUGUACUUUUCUCAUUGCUUUUCUUUCUUCCUUUUUUUUUUGUAACUGUAAAUCACAUAACAAAACAACAAAAAUAUAUUUGAAUGUUGCUUGAAUGACUGUAAAUAAGCACAAAAAUUCUCCUUCCUCCUGAAUCUCAUAUGCUAAUAUAUGCUGGUAUAUGCUAAGUCCUAACGCAGGGCCUGCCUGCUGUGAAAUUAUUUUUUGGAAAUGUUAGUUUCCUUUAGUCUUCUUUUCUCCCUGUCAGUGACAUUAUGUUUUAUCCAUGGUGUCCAGUGCCCUCAUGCUGACUUCUAGUUCACCGGGGCUCUCUACCCCUACAAGCCCUCUCCCCACCCCCCAGGCCUCUCCAUAUGCUCUAGACAUUUUCUGGCCUUUUAUCAUCAUCCAAACUCUGAACUUGCCUACCUUAUUUUUUCAGAAACUUACAGAGGGACUAGACAGUUAAUAUGAAUGAUGCUAAAGUGUAAACACAAAAAUUUUACUUGGAUGAUUGCAAUAGCAGCCUUCAGUGUUUACCCUGUGGAGUGAGCAGAAAAUCUCAAGCACUUCUGUAGGCCACCCAAGUCUGUUCUGGGUGAGGACUCUGAAGUCAAUACUCAAGCCAUGACAUUCCUGUUUUCUAAUGGAGAGUUGCAUUUGGGGGCACAUAAUACAGUGUAGAAAACUGUGCUGAAAUUUGUGCUGGCUCCUCUCCAUGUCGGGGGCCAUCUGUGAAGCUUUGGAGUCUAGGUCAAAUGUACCUCUUGUCUCCUGCUCCCCAGCAUUUUGUACAGGAUUCUAACCUAAUUAAAGUUAAUGUCCACAGCAGUGUCGAAGAGGAAAACCUGAAAGGAGGAGGAUUUUUGAAGGAAAGGAAACUGGAAAAGAGGAGGGCAGUUUUACCUGAAUUGUUUUGCCUGGAGAAAUAAAGGUGCAUAAGUACAUUACAUCUUGGGCAGCCUUGAACACCAACAGCCUUACAACUGUAGUAGGUCUGAGACUCAGCAGACUGGCCAGUGCAGGAGGCAGAAUGGGUUUGUAGCUGGCCCCAAAGUCCCUGUCCCCAGAGAACUGUCACUAUUUGACCUAUCAGGCAACUCCCUGGAAAGGCCCCAUUCUCAGGGUUUAUCUUUACUUGACCUGUUCUGUGUAAACAGCUGUAUUCCCAGGGCAUCAGUCAGAAACAAUCGUGUGACCGUUAACAUCGCAGCUGUCUAAGCCAUACCGGUUGAGGCCAACAAGAAGCUGACCAAACAACUGAAAAAGGAAACUGGUGGAUGAGCUGU
Molecule: long non-coding RNA, 2359 nt
Organism: Equus asinus (donkey)
Lineage: Eukaryota; Metazoa; Chordata; Mammalia; Perissodactyla; Equidae
Source: Ensembl